GAACGCUGUUUUUUAAAUAAAGAAUAUUAAAAAAGCAUCAGACUUUUAAUCUGAGGGUCGUGGGUUCAAGUCCCACGGUGGGCG
Non-coding RNA from Potamilus streckersoni, 84 nucleotides. The record is from the annotation of a GenBank genome assembly. NCBI's taxonomy places the organism in Eukaryota, Metazoa, Mollusca, Bivalvia, Unionida, Unionidae.